GACGAACGCUGGCGGCGUGCUUAACACAUGCAAGUCGAACGUGAUUUUUAUGGAAUAGCCUUCGGGAUAGGAAAUAGAAUGAAAGUGGCGAACGGGUGAGUAACACGUGAGCAACCUACCUUACACAGGGGGAUAGCCGUUGGAAACGACGAUUAAUACCGCAUGAGACCACAGAACCGCAUGGUAAAGGGGUCAAAGAUUUAUCGGUGUAAGAUGGGCUCGCGUCUGAUUAGCUAGUUGGAAGGGUAAAGGCCUACCAAGGCGACGAUCAGUAGCCGGUCUGAGAGGAUGAACGGCCACAUUGGAACUGAGACACGGUCCAAACUCCUACGGGAGGCAGCAGUGGGGAAUAUUGCACAAUGGGGGAAACCCUGAUGCAGCGACGCCGCGUGAGCGAAGAAGGUUUUCGAAUCGUAAAGCUCUGUCCUAUGAGAAGAUAAUGACGGUAUCAUAGGAGGAAGCCCCGGCUAAAUACGUGCCAGCAGCCGCGGUAAUACGUAUGGGGCGAGCGUUGUCCGGAAUUAUUGGGUUUAAAGGGUCCGUAGGCGGGCUAAUAAGUCAGAGGUGAAAGCGCUCAGCUCAACUGAGCAACUGCCUUUGAAACUGUUAGUCUUGAAUGGUUGUGAAGUAGUUGGAAUGUGUAGUGUAGCGGUGAAAUGCUUAGAUAUUACACAGAACACCGAUAGCGAAGGCAUAUUACUAACAAUUAAUUGACGCUGAUGGACGAAAGCGUGGGGAGCGAACAGG
This 747-nucleotide ribosomal RNA is filed under the name uncultured Streptococcus sp. Its description in RNAcentral is "bacterial SSU rRNA". It matches the Rfam family "Bacterial small subunit ribosomal RNA", at positions 28 to 776 of the family's 1533-position model. The record is from RNAcentral. Lineage: Bacteria; Bacillati; Bacillota; Bacilli; Lactobacillales; Streptococcaceae.